UCGUAAAAGUUUAGUUUAUCUCAUUCAUCAAUAUUCUAAAUGAUUUCAGAUUGACGAAAGACACUCAAUUUUAUUAGCUGCAGUCGAGACGGUAUUAUUUUCUACCAUACUUUUAGUUGAGGCUCUGUACAUAACUAAUCUGCGAGUUGCUGUAAGUAUUGAAUCAAUCAAUUCAAGUCUCAAAAUCCUUUGCUUUUAAGCUGAAAUCCCUCUUCAAUUCCACAGAAAGUCAAUCCCUCUUCCUCUGACAAAAAUCGAAGAAAGUAGAACUUGAGCCGUAGUUAAAUGCCUAUGCAUUUAUAUUAAUGUGCACAAUGCUUCGAUACAAAAAUUCCUCAUAUGUAACAUAUUAAAUUGGUAUCAUCAGAUAUAGUGGGCUCUGAAGGGUAGUGGUACAUCAAAGAUUUCCCUUUGUUCUUGUUUUGUGUGCAGUGUUCUGAAGUUGGAUUCCUGGCUUACUCGAUAUAUCUGAAAAACCAUAGGGCCGGAAAAGAUCUGCUGCUCGUUGUCUACAGGUCAAAUCGGCAAGAAAAAUUCUCGUGUCUUUUUACGUCCUCGUUUACUCCCAAAACAGUUUUCAAGAUUCUGAAUAUGGUUUGGAAUUUCUUCACGAUUGCCAAAGGGAUGGAGGAAAAACUUGCACGUGCUGGACAUUACUAGGAGCGGAAGCGACCCCGUCAAGCCGAAAGAGAUCUCCAACAACCAAGAAUGGGAGCCGCUACUGGAUCUUACACGAACCCGUUCAACUUUUCCGUUAUUUGAGAUAUCUCCGCGAAAACUUAACAAAACUCAAAACCCUUUGCACUCUGGCUGGCAAACUUAAUUCCUCGCAUACGGGCGAAAUUCGGAGGUGAUUCAUUAAGCAAGCAGUUAAUUAAUAAUCGCUAAUUAAUUGCCGUUUUUUGGUCAAAUUUUCAAAUCACCCGCGUGUUAUCACAUUCGUGCCUCGAAAUGUUGCCUUCAAUCGGCCAUCCGCAUUAAAUAUAAAUGUGCACCCAACAGUUAUGAAUAUCAAUGCAACUCAUUUCAUAGUUUAAACCAGUGCAAAGGUAUCAUUUCUUGAAUUAAAAGCGUCCUUUCGAAUUAUUGAAACUUAGGAUUGUCAAACGAUCCAAGUCGUAUCUCUUGAUCGAGUGAACAGCUGUGAACAGAAUGUAUCAUGAAUCAAGUGAUUCAAGUGAAUUCCGGCUGGUGAAUUCUGAAUCGCGACCCUCUUUUCCACGCUUGCAAGGAAACUGAGAUUAAACAUAGAUUUGCGUUAAUCACUCAUUUUCCGAUUUGUCUUUUUUUCUAGUAACAACUGGUUUCUAAGAAUUUUGAAUUCCUUGCCUUCGUGACU
Molecule: long non-coding RNA, 1339 nt
Filed under: Bemisia tabaci
Lineage: Eukaryota; Metazoa; Arthropoda; Insecta; Hemiptera; Aleyrodidae
Description: lncRNA ENSSSA3NGG001744
Source: RNAcentral